Non-coding RNA from Paralichthys olivaceus (Japanese flounder), 1110 nucleotides. The record is from RefSeq and is a predicted model, not a curated record. NCBI's taxonomy places the organism in Eukaryota, Metazoa, Chordata, Actinopteri, Pleuronectiformes, Paralichthyidae.
AUCAACAAAAGGAUUGCAUCAUCUAACAACUGAGAAAUGCACUCCCUUACUGUUUGCAGCUUGCCUAACAAGCUGAGCCAGGAGUAAAAUUACGUUAYGUGGCACUGAACUUAUGUAGCGUCGGUUUUGCCAGUGCAAAGGAUAAUUCAGUAGAAAGAAGGAGAGAGGUCACUCUCGGUUAUCUGGUGGUGUUUCUCAGAGAAAAGGAGGAGGACCUCUUCAAAGAGCACUUGGAUAGUGAAGUGCAGGCUACAGAUGAGGUGAUGAAGAUUGUCAUCAGCAGAGGUGCCAUAAUGUCUGACACAGCUCGUGCAAAGAUAGUGAUCAAGGGGACACAAGUCCUGAAAGACCUGAAUGUACCAAGAGCCUGUGCUUUGCUAAUGGGCUGAUAUAUGCGCUCCACCUCAGCUAAUCAAAAGAACUGAUGAAAACAUUUGAGGUAUUUCAAAAGAUAUUCCUUGGACUAGAUGGUCUGAAGGCGAGCCCGGAGGUAAUGUCAUAGACUGCUGUCCUAAAAAACWAAUCACAAGGAAAURUUGCACUGUGGUGUUGUUUAAAACACAGCAGCUGUACUAACUCACACUAAGUUGCAAGUUUAUUGUAAAGAUUGUUAUUUUGAAUUGUGUUACCUUGGACAGAGGUUUUUUCUACUUUUUGACUAUGAUAAGAGCAGGAUUAAGUUCAGGAUGUAAUCCAUGAUAUUUGUUUUGUUUUGUUUGAGGGCAAUUUCAUGGUGACAGCAUACAAAUAUUGGACUCUGUGUUCAGUUGAGGCACUCAAACGCACUGUUUGAUUUUCCUGCCGUCAUUUUGACACAUCAUAGAAGGGUAAACUCAGGGAUAAUAUUAUAAUGGUACUAUUUUAUUUAGUGAGUCAAAGCCACUCCAGUGAGCAUGUGUAAUACCAGGUCCAUGGCCCAUCUAAACAGAACAGAGCCAUAAUUUACAUUAUAAAUCACACCAUCACACUUGUGUUUAUCCUUCAGUGACUUCUGAAAAUGGCUGCUAAAGGGCCUUUUAUGAAGACUAUCUCAUUUGGGGAUGAGGAACCAGCUAAGCACCAUCAUUUAUUAUUUUUUUCCAAGUAUUGUAGGAAGUGGCUGGGCAUGUA